RNAcentral lists this ribosomal RNA (480 nucleotides) under uncultured bacterium. RNAcentral's name for it is "partial 16S ribosomal RNA". It matches the Rfam family "Bacterial small subunit ribosomal RNA", at positions 29 to 507 of the family's 1533-position model. The record is from RNAcentral.
AUGCACGCUGGCGGCGUGCUUAACACAUGCAAGUCGAACGAAGCACUUUAUUUGAUUUCCUUCGGGACUGAUUAUUUUGUGACUGAGUGGCGGACGGGUGAGUAACGCGUGGGUAACCUGCCUUGUACAGGGGGAUAACAGUUGGAAACGGCUGCUAAUACCGCAUAAGCGCACAGCAUCGCAUGAUGCAGUGUGAAAAACUCCGGUGGUAUAAGAUGGACCCGCGUUGGAUUAGCUAGUUGGUGAGGUAACGGCCCACCAAGGCGACGAUCCAUAGCCGACCUGAGAGGGUGACCGGCCACAUUGGGACUGAGACACGGCCCAAACUCCUACGGGAAGCAGCAGUGGGGAAUAUUGCACAAUGGGCGAAAGCCUGAUGCAGCGACGCCGCGUGAGCGAAGAAGUAUUUCGGUAUGUAAAGCUCUAUCAGCAGGGAAGAUAAUGACGGUACCUGACUAAGAAGCACCGGCUAAAUACGUG